UAAAGUGGCGCACGGGUGAGUAACACGUGGGUAAUCUGCCCUCGAGUUUGGGAUAACCCCGCGAAAGCGGGGCUAAUACCGAAUAAGACCACGGGGACCAAAGUUCCCGAGGUAAAAGGUGGCCUCUAUUUAUAAGCUAUCACUUGAGGAUGAGCCCGCGGCCCAUUAGCUUGUUGGCAGGGUAACGGCCUACCAAGGCUAUGAUGGGUAGCUGGUCUGAGAGGACGAUCAGCCACACUGGAACUGAGACACGGUCCAGACUCCUACGGGAGGCAGCAGUGGGGAAUAUUGCGCAAUGGGCGAAAGCCUGACGCAGCAACGCCGCGUGGGGGAUGAAGGUUUUCGGAUUGUAAACCCCUUUCGAUCGGAACGAAUCUCCUCCUGGUAAAUAAUCAGGAGGAUCGACGGUACCGAGAGAAGAAGCCACGGCUAACUCUGUGCCAGCAGCCGCGGUAAGACAGAGGUGGCUAGCGUUGUUCG
Molecule: ribosomal RNA, 480 nt
Filed under: uncultured Pseudomonadota bacterium
Lineage: Bacteria; Pseudomonadati; Pseudomonadota
Description: bacterial SSU rRNA
Rfam family: Bacterial small subunit ribosomal RNA
Source: RNAcentral